CCUACGGGAGGCUGCAGUGAGGAAUAUUGGUCAAUGGGCGCGAGCCUGAACCAGCCAAGUAGCGUGAAGGAUGACUGCCCUACGGGUUGUAAACUUCUUUUAUAAAGGAAUAAAGUGAGGCACGUGUGCCUUUUUGUAUGUACUUUAUGAAUAAGGAUCGGCUAACUCCGUGCCAGCAGCCGCGGUAAUACGGAGGAUCCGAGCGUUAUCCGGAUUUAUUGGGUUUAAAGGGAGCGUAGAUGGGUUGGUAAGUUAGUUGUGAAAGUUUGCGGCUCAACCGUAAAAUUGCAAUUGAUACUGGCAGGCUUGAGUACAGUUGAGGUAGGCGGAAUUCGUAGGGUAGCAGGGAAAUGCUGAGAUAUCACGAAGAACACCGAUGGCGAAGGCAGCUUACUAAGAUGCCACUGACAUUGAUGCUCGAAAGUGUGGGGAUCAAACAGGAUUAGAUACCCGUGUAGUC
RNAcentral lists this ribosomal RNA (460 nucleotides) under uncultured bacterium. RNAcentral describes it as "partial 16S ribosomal RNA". It matches the Rfam family "Bacterial small subunit ribosomal RNA", at positions 338 to 795 of the family's 1533-position model. The record is from RNAcentral.